Molecule: long non-coding RNA, 1958 nt
Filed under: Musa acuminata (dwarf banana)
Lineage: Eukaryota; Viridiplantae; Streptophyta; Magnoliopsida; Zingiberales; Musaceae
Description: long non-coding RNA (MACU_LNC001558)
Source: RNAcentral
GAGUAAGUCAUCGCGUCGCCCCAUCGGCAAGCGCAUAUAAGGACUCGCUCUCCGGUCGACGUAUAAGAGGCCUCGAGCGGAGUCGUCGGAAAGGGAAGGGUUCUAGGGUGGUUUCCUUGUCUCGUCGUUGCUCUUCACCGCAUUUAGAACAAGAAAUAUGGUGUGAUGAUGACUCCUCCUCUGUUAUUUCUUAUGUCGUAGUAAUAGUGUUCUUUGUUUCUUGGAAUCUCCUUUGGUGUUCAGUCUUGUUGUCGUUUCUGAUGUAAAUAAUCUUGGUUUUCGUCGGAAUCUUUUGGUACUAAUUAUUGGAUUUUUGUGGAAACCAAUUCGUGUUUCCUUCUUUUACUCGAAGUUUGUUUAUUAGGGUUGUUGAUUCUUCGUUACUUGGAAUCACUAUUUAUUUGGGUUCUUGAUGGUCCUUAUCGGAAAUUUGUGGGUACUAAAUCGUGUUUUCUUCUGUCGAUAUAUGUUCAGUAAGGUUCUUGCUGGAUUAUUUUGGGUAUUAGUUCAUGUUUUCGCCUUUUUCCUGACAUUUGGUAGGGUUCUUGAUGGUUCCCUUUGGGUACUGAUACUUUUUAAAAUUUUUGUCUAUUAGGGUUCUUCUUGAUGGAUUUUUGUGGGUAUUAUUAGUUUAUGUUUUCUUCUUUUACUCGAUAUUUGUUGGGGUUCUUAAUGCUUCUUUUUCGGUACUAAUUCUUCUUGUGAUCUCUAUUUUCUUGAUGGAUUUUCGUGGGUAUUAGUUCAUGUUUUCUUCUAAUGCUCGACAUUUGUUAUGUUCUUGAUGGAUUCUUGUGGGCCCGAGUUUAUGUUUCCGUUUCGUACUCAAACAUCUAUUAGGGUUCUUGAUGGUUGUUUUCAGGAACUGAUAGUUUGUUUGGAUUCUUCUUAUAGUCUCUGUUUGUUUGGAUUUUUCUUGAUGGANNNNNNNNNNNNNNNNNNNNUUCUCGUGGGUAUUAGUUCAUGAUUUCUUCUUUUACUCGACAUUUAGGGUACUGAUUUUUCUUGUAGUCUCUGUUUGUUGGGGUUUCUUUAUGGAUUCUCGUGGGUAUUAGUUCAUGAUUUCUUUUUUUACUCGACAUUGAGGGUACUGAUUCUUCUUGUAGUCUCUGUUUUUUGGGGUUUUUCUUGAUGGAUUCUCGUGGGAAUUAGUUCAUGAUUUCUUCUUUUACGCCACAUUUAGGAUACUGAUUCUUCUUGUAGUCCCUGUUUGUUGGGAUUCUUCUUGAUGGAUUCUCGUGGGUAUUAGUUCAUGUUUUCUUCUUUUACUCGACAUUUAUUUGAGUUCUCGAUGAUUCUUUCUGAGUACUGAUUCUUUUUGUAACCAUAUUGGAUCUAAUCCAACAGACAGCCAACUACAAGCAACUCAAGAAGGGUGCUAACGAAGUUUUUUUUUUUUGUCUUUUGUUGAGAUGUAACCAGGUUGUUAUGGAAGUGCACACACACAACGGUUGUUAUGGAAGUGACGAUAUAGGGGAAGAGAUAACAUUCUUUGAUAUGGAAGUGACGAUAUAGGGGAAGAAAUAACAUUCUUUGAUGAGAUGUAACUAAGGGUUGACGUUAUGGCAUUGGGUAUAUUAUUAGUCCACUACUAGUUUUCCAGCUUGGGAUGUAGUAAGUAGGUCCCCAUCCAUCCAUCCAUCCAUGUACUUACUAUCUCAUUAUUAUACAAAAUAUAUAGGGAUUGAUCGUUUGAUUAGAAUGUUAAUCUGACAUUUGGUUGAAGGAAAGCCAAAUGUUGAUGCGAGUGGCUGAAUGCCAGUGAUCUUUUUUGUCUAAACGCUACUUCCAAGCAGUGAGUGGUGUGGUGGUUACACACAAUUCAAUAGUUUUUUUUAUUUAUUAUUGGGGUUUUAAAAUUGCGAAUCCGUGUGAAUUGUGUGUAUGUUUGUUGCAAUGUUCAGAUUUUCUGUUCCCUAUGUUUUUUUGUUCCUCAAGCACUUUUUGGGUCGAGCUUGUGG